RNAcentral lists this ribosomal RNA (412 nucleotides) under uncultured microorganism. RNAcentral describes it as "bacterial SSU rRNA". It matches the Rfam family "Archaeal small subunit ribosomal RNA", at positions 330 to 745 of the family's 1478-position model. The record is from RNAcentral.
GUGCAGCAGGCGAGAAACCUCCGCAAUACACGAAAGUGUGACGGGCCAUCCCGAGUGCCGUCCGCUGAGGACGGCUUUUCCCCAGUGUACAUAGCCGGGGGAAUAAGGAGAGGGCAAGCCUGGUGUCAGCCGCCGCGGUAAUACCAGCUCUCCGAGUGGUGGGGACGCUUAUUGGGCCUAAAGCAUCCGUAGCCGGCUGGGCAAGUCCUCCGUUAAAUCCAACGAUUCAAUCGUUGGGCUGCGGGGGAUACUGUCCAGCUUGGGGGCGGGAGAGGCCGGCGGUAUUCCCGGGGUAGGGGUGAAAUCCUAUAAUCCCGGGAGGACCACCAGUGGCGAAGGCUGUCGGCUAGAACGCGCCCGACGGUGAGGGAUGAAAGCUGGGGGAGCGAACCGGAUUAGAUACCCCUGUAGU